This 94-nucleotide non-coding RNA is filed under the name Pseudolactococcus raffinolactis 4877. RNAcentral describes it as "Lactococcus raffinolactis 4877 Large Subunit Ribosomal RNA; lsuRNA; LSU rRNA". It matches the Rfam family "Bacterial large subunit ribosomal RNA", at positions 2831 to 2925 of the family's 2925-position model. Lineage: Bacteria; Bacillati; Bacillota; Bacilli; Lactobacillales; Streptococcaceae. The record is from RNAcentral.
AGAGCCCUGAGAGAUGAUCAGGUAGAUAGGCUAGAAGUGGAAGGGUAGUGAUACUUGGAGCGGACUAGUACUAAUAGCUCGAGGACUUUACCUA